GACGAACGCUGGCGGCGUGCUUAACACAUGCAAGUCGAACGGAAAGGCCCUGCUUUUGUGGGGUGCUCGAGUGGCGAACGGGUGAGUAACACGUGAGUAACCUGCCCUUGACUUUGGGAUAACUUCAGGAAACUGGGGCUAAUACCGGAUAGGAGCUCCUGCUGCAUGGGGGGGGUUGGAAAGUUUCGGCGGUUGGGGAUGGACUCGCGGCUUAUCAGCUUGUUGGUGGGGUAGUGGCUUACCAAGGCUGUGACGGGUAGCCGGCCUGAGAGGGUGACCGGCCACAUUGGGACUGAGAGACGGCCCAGACUCCUACGGGAGGCAGCAGUGGGGAAUAUUGCACAAUGGGCGGAAGCCUGAUGCAGCAACGCCGCGUGCGGGAUGACGGCCUUCGGGUUGUAAACCGCUUUCGCCUGUGACGAAGCGUGAGUGACGGUAAUGGGUAAAGAAGCACCGGCUAACUACGUG
This 468-nucleotide ribosomal RNA is filed under the name uncultured bacterium. RNAcentral's name for it is "partial 16S ribosomal RNA". It matches the Rfam family "Bacterial small subunit ribosomal RNA", at positions 28 to 507 of the family's 1533-position model. The record is from RNAcentral.